This 111-nucleotide transfer RNA is filed under the name Cronartium quercuum f. sp. fusiforme G11. It matches the Rfam family "tRNA". Rfam says of the family: Transfer RNA (tRNA) molecules are approximately 80 nucleotides in length. Their secondary structure includes four short double-helical elements and three loops (D, anti-codon, and T loops). The record is from Rfam by way of RNAcentral. Lineage: Eukaryota; Fungi; Basidiomycota; Pucciniomycetes; Pucciniales; Coleosporiaceae.
GACAACGUGGCCGAGCGGUUAAGGCGAUUGACUAGAAUACGUAUUCUAAGACUGUGUGGGUCUGCCAUCAAUUAGGGUUUCCCUGCGUAGGUUCAAGUCCUGCCGUUGUCG